UACGAAGGGGGCUAGCGUUGUUCGGAAUCACUGGGCGUAAAGCGCACGUAGGCGGAUCUUUAAGUCAGGGGUGAAAUCCCGAGGCUCAACCUCGGAACUGUCUUUGAUACUGGGGAUCUCGAGUCCGGGAGAGGUGAGUGGAACUGCGAGUGUAGAGGUGAAAUUCGUAGAUAUUCGGCGGAACACCAGUGGCGAAGGCGAGUUCCUGGACAGUUACUGACACUGAGGCACGAAGGCCAGGGGAGCAAACGGG
Molecule: ribosomal RNA, 253 nt
Filed under: uncultured bacterium
Lineage: Bacteria
Description: partial 16S ribosomal RNA
Rfam family: Bacterial small subunit ribosomal RNA
Source: RNAcentral